This is a long non-coding RNA of Oreochromis aureus, 1157 nucleotides long. NCBI's taxonomy places the organism in Eukaryota, Metazoa, Chordata, Actinopteri, Cichliformes, Cichlidae. The record is from Ensembl.
CUACCCUCUGCCGUCCUCCACUCAGAGAGGAGCGGAACCCCCUGACACCUCCUCACCUUCCAUCCUCUCGCCUUCGCACCUCUCCCUUUCCUCUGAGCGCGCGCCGUCUCUCUCACCUGUUGAUGUACUGCAGCUCUCGAACUCGAUCAACACACACAGGACAUCCGCCCUCUGCUCUAAAAAAUAAAAGCAUUCCGUUUUUUCAGAAUAAAAGCGGCUCACCGGUCUGACUUUCAGCGUGGUGUCCCGCCCACUGAGCGCGUCCAGUGCACGAGUUGAAAUGAAGAGAAAUGGGCUGUAUCCCAAUUCCCAAUUCAGGGGCUGCUCGAAAUGCGGACCUGAAAUGCGGCCUUCAUUUCCCUGAAUUUUAAGGCUGUGGCGAUGUAGACUUCGUGGCCCAACAUAUCCCACAAUUCAUAGCGCGGCAGUCACUGUGGAUAAAUUUGCCGCAGACGGUAGAAGGGAGUAAACUGUUAAACCUUAUCACACAUUUGAUUUCCAUGUGUGACGACUGCAAGUGUCCAGAGUGAGGACAGACUGAGGGACCCACUGCUGCACAUCAUCUGUGAGGCUUUGCACCCUGAUGAUCCACCAGGACAAACUCAGCAGUGUGUGAGGAAGAGGAGGAGGAAGAGCCAGCAGCAGCUGACAGAUGGAGAGAAUAGACAGACUGUUCCCUGUUUGUGAAGGACUGCUAGGAAAGUUUAAAAUCACUAAUUAUCUGUCCUGAAUCAGUCUUAUUAGGUAAUGUUCAAAUAAUGUUAUCAUCCCAGUGUUUUCAGUGUGGGAGAAAGUACUCAGGGCCUUCAAGUUACACACUAUGAAAGGCAGCAACAAGUUUAAUAUUCAGAAACCUAAAGUAUGUAUCAGCAGCAGAAUGGAGCUAACAAUAAAUGUUUGUUUCAGUUCUACGAAGCUUUGAGUAUUUUGGAUUAGUAGCACUGCUGUGUUUGUUGCAUCAUAUUGCUGUAAUUGUUUAUAUGCUUUAUAUAUUCUGAGGUAAGUUGAUCUAUAGUGUUACAUCAUAUUCUACAAGGAUGUUAUGUGUUUGUAGACUUUCUGCCCAGUUUGACCCAUUUAGCAGAAGUCAGCCUGUUUAAGGCUCUGAUAUCUAUUCUGUAUGACUUAAAGCAGUUAUGACAUGGUCUGAUUUUCUC